AAAACUGAGGAAGAAAACUGACAGGGUUUUCAAGGGAAUUUCCAGGUCACCCAGAGAACUCGCCUGGCCUUGUUCUACUUCCUACAAGUCUCUGAGCACUUCAUGCUUUACUAGAAUCUUGUAAAUACAAAAAAAAAAAAAAAAAAAGAAAAAGACACAACAAGUCAACAAUGUUUAGCAUCACUAAAAAGAAUGUACUUUGGUGAAAGGUAGAAAUUGGAAAAAUAAAGCUCAGGACAACCUUAAAGUUUUUCUCUAUUCAUGCUACCCUCUUUUUUUUUGGUAACCACAGUUAAUUAAGAGUUAUAAGCAUAAAACAGUGUUUCUUUCAAGUGGCAUGCUUAUGUGGGGGAAGAAAAAAUGAAAGGGAGGCAGCUCAGUGAAGGAGCAUAUUGCUAAUCAAAAAUGAAAUUUCUCCAUCAGGCUGAGAAUCUAUGAUGGCCGGUGAGCUGGUAUGAUUCAUACAAAGUUCUAUGUCUCACUAGUCUCUCCAAAUCAUGGUUCUUCACGAGGGAGCCCUUCUUCAGGCUGUUCUUCCGCUCCACGUAGUUGGACGGCACAUAGCCCGUCCUGUUGGCCGCGUUCCUCACCCGCCACCACGUCUUGGAGUCAUCCAGCAACCACAGCCGCUCGUUCUUCUUGAUGUCCAGCUCCUGGUCCUGCUGGGCGGUGUAGUCCCACUUGGCUAUCACAAUAACUUCUUCUGUCAUCUUUCAUGGAGUCCUUCUGCCAGCAAAACAUUUGGAGAUGCUCAUUAGAGAACUACCCGGACACUUCAUCCUUUGCACCAACU
This 793-nucleotide non-coding RNA is filed under the name Pongo abelii (Sumatran orangutan). Lineage: Eukaryota; Metazoa; Chordata; Mammalia; Primates; Hominidae. The record is from RNAcentral.